AUGAAUGGGAGUCAAUGGGAUGCUAACGCAAGUGAAGUUCUGCUACAAGAUGGCGGCACGCGGCCGACUUCAACUUCCGGUCGACUUCCUUGCCCCCUGGCUUUGACUCAGUGCCCCAGUGUGAUCACCACGGCAACCCUGGCGCAAACAGAGUGCAGGGAGGUGUGUUACCCAGAGAAGUGCAGAAGUGUGCAGGCACGGAAAAAACACAAAGAGAAAACUCUCAGAGACAAUCCUGAUGUUCUGUAUGCUGACUACAUUCAACUCAAUGCCAAAAGAAUCAAGAACAACUUCAUUUUCUACACCACUAGGAUUAGUGCUUGGAAACUUACCAUCUGUGAGGAAUACAAGCAUGUGUUUAAAGAAGGAAUAGGCCGAGGUGGAAGAUUAACUAUUUGUGAAGAUGAAAUGCUAGACACAGACAACCCCAUUCUCACUAUUACCUACUAUACUAAAGGUAACUUCCUACUGCAAGGCAAUGAAGCAAGCCUAAAUUCAUUUGAGGAGAUUUUCCCCCUGCUGAAAGCCAGAGUAGAGAAGAAGAAAGACGAGACUCAUGUGAACUGCACAGACUCUGAGGAGGAAGGUCCAGUGAAUCCUCCUCCUUCACCAUCCGAACGUCGACUGAGAGACAGUUUAGCCCUACUAGAACUGGACUUUACUGAAUUCAGAGAACACACUCAAGCAAAAACUCUCAGACAAACACAACACAAAUCUUUACAUCCAGGAGCUCAAAGACGAACUCCAGCAGCUGAAGAACAACACCAGCUCCUCCAUCACCGAACUCACAAGAGCUGUCAGAGAACUACAGGAAGAAAACCGAACUCUCCACUUACAGCUAUGCAAACUAGAGGAGGACACAGAGAAAAAAGAAGAGAACUUCUCCAGACAGCUGCAAGAAAUGAGAGAACAGUUACAGGAAAACACAAAAGACAACACACUUCACUACAAUACAGCUCCUACUACAGACAAACCAAAUUACACAAACACAGAAAGUGUACCUACGACAAACACACAGACACCUGCAGCAACACAGGCCUCACCUGCCCAGCCUCCAGAACCUGA
This is a long non-coding RNA of Cyprinus carpio carpio, 1065 nucleotides long. The record is from Ensembl. Lineage: Eukaryota; Metazoa; Chordata; Actinopteri; Cypriniformes; Cyprinidae.